RNAcentral lists this transfer RNA (76 nucleotides) under Streptomyces sp. YIM 121038. Its description in RNAcentral is "tRNA-Pro". It matches the Rfam family "tRNA". Rfam says of the family: Transfer RNA (tRNA) molecules are approximately 80 nucleotides in length. Their secondary structure includes four short double-helical elements and three loops (D, anti-codon, and T loops). The record is from RNAcentral. Lineage: Bacteria; Bacillati; Actinomycetota; Actinomycetes; Kitasatosporales; Streptomycetaceae.
CUGGUCGUAGCUCAGUCGGUAGAGCGCCUGGUUUGGGACCAGGAGGCCGCGAGUUCGAGACUCGCCGACCAGACCA